GAUGAACGCUAGCGGCAGGCUUAACACAUGCAAGUCGAGGGGUAUAACACUUCGGUGUUAGAGACCGGCGCACGGGUGCGUAACGCGUAUGUAAUCUACCUUUUACAGAGGGCUAGCCCAGAGAACUUUGGAUUAAUACCUCAUGGUAUUAUGGAUAGGCAUCUAUUUAUAAUUAAAGAUUUAUCGGUAAAAGAUGAGCAUGCGUCCCAUUAGCUAGUUGGUAUGGUAACGGCAUACCAAGGCGACGAUGGGUAGGGGUCCUGAGAGGGAGAUCCCCCACACUGGUACUGAGACACGGACCAGACUCCUACGGGAGGCAGCAGUGAGGAAUAUUGGACAAUGGGCGCAAGCCUGAUCCAGCCACGCCGCGUGCAGGAUGACUGCCCUAUGGGUUGUAAACUGCUUUUGUACAGGAAGAAACCCUUCUACGAGUAGAAGAUUGACGGUACUGUAAGAAUAAGGAUCGGCUAACUCCGUGCCAGCAGCCGCAGUAA
RNAcentral lists this ribosomal RNA (494 nucleotides) under uncultured bacterium. RNAcentral's name for it is "partial 16S ribosomal RNA". It matches the Rfam family "Bacterial small subunit ribosomal RNA", at positions 28 to 523 of the family's 1533-position model. The record is from RNAcentral.